RNAcentral lists this ribosomal RNA (1343 nucleotides) under uncultured bacterium. RNAcentral's name for it is "16S ribosomal RNA". It matches the Rfam family "Bacterial small subunit ribosomal RNA", at positions 28 to 1378 of the family's 1533-position model. The record is from RNAcentral.
GACGAACGCUGGCGGCGUGCUUAACACAUGCAAGUCGAACGGAAAGGCCCUGCUUUUGUGGGGUGCUCGAGUGGCGAACGGGUGAGUAACACGUGAGUAACCUGCCCUUGACUUUGGGAUAACUUCAGGAAACUGGGGCUAAUACCGGAUAGGAGCUCCUGCUGCAUGGUGGGGGUUGGAAAGUUUCGGCGGUUGGGGAUGGACUCGUGGCUUAUCAGCUUGUUGGUGGGGUAGUGGCUUACCAAGGCUUUGACGGGUAGCCGGCCUGAGAGGGUGACCGGCCACAUUGGGACUGAGAUACGGCCCAGACUCCUACGGGAGGCAGCAGUGGGGAAUAUUGCACAAUGGGCGGAAGCCCGAUGCAGCAACGCCGCGUGCGGGAUGACGGCCUUCGGGUUGUAAACCGCUUUCGCCUGUGACGAAGCGUGAGUGACGGUAAUGGGUAAAGAAGCACCGGCUAACUACGUGCCAGCAGCCGCGGUGAUACGUAGGGUGCGAGCGUUGUCCGGAUUUAUUGGGCGUAAAGGGCUCGUAGGUGGUUGAUCGCGUCGGAAGUGUAAUCUUGGGGCUUAACCCUGAGCGUGCUUUCGAUACGGGUUGACUUGAGGAAGGUAGGGGAGAAUGGAAUUCCUGGUGGAGCGGUGGAAUGCGCAGAUAUCAGGAGGAACACCAGUGGCGAAGGCGGUUCUCUGGGCCUUUCCUGACGCUGAGGAGCGAAAGCGUGGGGAGCGAACAGGCUUAGAUACCCUGGUAGUCCACGCUGUAAACGGUGGGUACUAGGUGUGGGGUCCAUUCCACGGGUUCCGUGCCGUAGCUAACGCUUUAAGUACCCCGCCUGGGGAGUACGGCCGCAAGGCUAAAACUCAAAGGAAUUGACGGGGCCCCGCACAAGCGGCGGAGCAUGCGGAUUAAUUCGAUGCAACGCGUAGAACCUUACCUGGGUUUGACAUGGAUCGGGAGUGCUCAGAGAUGGGUGUGCCUCUUUUGGGGUCGGUUCACAGGUGGUGCAUGGCUGUCGUCAGCUCGUGUCGUGAGAUGUUGGGUUAAGUCCCGCAACGAGCGCAACCCUUGUUCACUGUUGCCAGCACGUUAUGGUGGGGACUCAGUGGAGACCGCCGGGGUCAACUCGGAGGAAGGUGGGGAUGACGUCAAGUCAUCAUGCCCCUUAUGUCCAGGGCUUCACGCAUGCUACAAUGGCUGGUACAGAGAGUGGCGAGCCUGUGAGGGUGAGCGAAUCUCGGAAAGCCGGUCUCAGUUCGGAUUGGGGUCUGCAACUCGACCUCAUGAAGUCGGAGUCGCUAGUAAUCGCAGAUCAGCAACGCUGCGGUGAAUACGUUCCCGGG